Molecule: long non-coding RNA, 435 nt
Organism: Astatotilapia calliptera (eastern happy)
Lineage: Eukaryota; Metazoa; Chordata; Actinopteri; Cichliformes; Cichlidae
Source: Ensembl
GCCAGAAUUGCAGGAAUGCAACACGUGUUGCAGAGGACUCUUUCACUGCCCUCUGUGCCCCACUUUCAGCCCUACUGUCAGGGCAAAGAUUGAGGAGCAUCUAAGUGUGCAUAUAAAAAAUGCUUUGCCUUUCAAAGAUAAAAUGAUAUGCCGGUGCAGGCUGCCUUGUAGGACAACAGGACACUUUCACCGCCCUGUCUGUAAGAUUACAAUCAUACAGCGUGGGGAUAUGGCAAGGCAUUUAUUGUCUUGUCAGCAUUCUUCAAUGCCAAGUCAGCCACCAUUAUCAGGACUGCUCCCCGCUGAACUCUCCGAGGAGACCCGUAUUCCUCCGGCAGUACUCUUCGAGGAGCCCCGUCUCCCCCCCAAGCUCUGGCAAGCUAUUUGCACACUGGAGAGAGGAAGCCAAACUGUGCUUGAAGCACAACACGUGCC